GCUGCUGUCUGCGGUUACAGCCCAGUUUCCAGGGGUUUGUGGGCUUCACUACAGGAAUUCAGUGUCUCAAUGUAUGAGAGGUGUCUGGCCAGUGGAAGGAAUUCUGCAUGUCCCCAAUGCUGGCUGGGGAAAUCUGGUGUGUGUUGUCAACUAUCCCAAAGAUAACAAAAGAAAAAUGGAUGAGACAGAUGCGUCAUCAGCAGUGAAAGUGAAAAGAACAGUCCAGAAAACAUCUGAUUUAAUAGUGUUGGGUGUCCCAUGGAAAACAACUGAACAGGACCUGAAAGACUAUUUUAGUACCUUUGGAGAAGUUCUUAUGGUGCAGGUCAAGAAAGAUCUUAAGACUGGUCAUUCAAAGGGGUUUGGUUUUGUUCGUUUUACGGAAUAUGAAACACACGUGAAAGUAAUGUCACAGCGGUAUAUGAUAGACGGACGGUGGUGUGACUGUAAACUUCCUAACUCUAAGCAAAGCGCAGAUGAGCUUUUGAGAAGCAGAAAAGUGUUUGUGGGGCACUGUACAGAGGACAUGACAGAGGAUGAGCUGCGGCAGUUCUUCUCCAAGUACGGGGAGGCGAUGGAUGUCUUCAUCCCCAAGCCGUUGAAGGCCCUUGCCUUUGUUACAUUUGCAGAUGAUCAGAUUGUGCAAUCUCUUUGUGGAGAGGACUUGAUCAUUAAAGGAAUCAGCGUUCAUAUAACCAAUGCUGAACCUAAGCACAAUAGCAAUAGACAGAAAUAAGUGGAAGAUUUGGUGGUAAUCCAGGUGGCUUUGGGAAUCGGGGUGGAUUUGGUAAUAGCAGAGUGGGUGGAGCUGGUUUGGGAAACAAUCAAGGUAGUAAUAUGGGUGGCGGGAUGAACUUUGGCGCAUUCAGCAUUAAUCCAGCCAUGAUGGCUGCAGCCCAGGCAGCGCUACAGAACAGUUGGGGUAUGAUGGGCAUGUUAGCCAGCCAGCAGAACCAGUCAGGCCCAUCAGGUAAUAACCAAAGCCAAGGCAACAUGCAGAGGGAGCCAAACCAGGCCUUCCGUUCUGGAAAUAACUCUUAUAGUGAUUCUAAUUCUGGUGCAGCAAUUGGUUGGGGAUCAGCAUCAAAUGCUGGGUCAGGCAGUGGUUUUAAUGGAGGCUUUGGCUCGGGCAUGGAUUCUAAGUCUUCUGGCUGGGGAAUGUAGACUGGUUGGUUGGUAUAGAAUGGUGGGAAUUCAGAUUUUUCUAAACUCAUGGUAAGUAUAUUGUAAAAUACGUAUAUACUAAGAAUUUUCAAAAUUGGUUUGUUCAGUGUGGAGUAUAUUCAGCAGUAUUUUUGACAUUUUUCUUUAGAAAAAGGAAGAGCUAAAGGAACUUUCUAAGUUUUGUUACAUGAAAGGUUGAAAUAUUGAGUGGUUGAAAGUGAACUGCUGUUUGCCUGAUUGGUAAACCAACAUACUACAAUUGGUAUCAAAAGGUUUCUCGUGUAAUUUU
RNA transcript from Sapajus apella (tufted capuchin), 1453 nucleotides. It is a transcript of the gene named TAR DNA-binding protein 43 pseudogene, with no coding region annotated. NCBI's taxonomy places the organism in Eukaryota, Metazoa, Chordata, Mammalia, Primates, Cebidae. The transcript has a single exon. The record is from RefSeq and is a predicted model, not a curated record.